This 452-nucleotide ribosomal RNA is filed under the name uncultured bacterium. RNAcentral's name for it is "bacterial SSU rRNA". It matches the Rfam family "Bacterial small subunit ribosomal RNA", at positions 340 to 786 of the family's 1533-position model. The record is from RNAcentral.
UACGGGAGGCAGCAGUGGGGAAUAUUGCACAAUGGGCGCAAGCCUGAUGCAGCCAUGCCGCGUGUAUGAAGAAGGCCUUCGGGUUGUAAAGUACUUUCAGUCGUGAGGAAGGUGUUAAGGUUAAUAACCUUAGCAAUUGACGUUAGCGACAGAAGAAGCACCGGCUAACUCCGUGCCAGCAGCCGCGGUAAUACGGAGGGUGCGAGCGUUAAUCGGAAUUACUGGGCGUAAAGGGCACGCAGGCGGUUAAUUAAGUUGGAUGUGAAAUCCCCGGGCUUAACCUGGGAAUGGCAUUCAAGACUGGUUAGCUAGAGUCUUGUAGAGGGGGUAGAAUUCCAUGUGUAGCGGUGAAAUGCGUAGAGAUGUGGAGGAAUACCGGUGGCGAAGGCGGCCCCUGGACAAAGACUGACGCUCAUGUGCGAAAGCGUGGGGAGCAACAGGGAUUAGAUACC